RNAcentral lists this ribosomal RNA (2904 nucleotides) under Enterobacter hormaechei subsp. xiangfangensis. Its description in RNAcentral is "23S ribosomal RNA". It matches the Rfam family "Bacterial large subunit ribosomal RNA". The record is from RNAcentral. Lineage: Bacteria; Pseudomonadati; Pseudomonadota; Gammaproteobacteria; Enterobacterales; Enterobacteriaceae.
GGUUAAGCGACUAAGCGUACACGGUGGAUGCCCUGGCAGUCAGAGGCGAUGAAGGACGUGCUAAUCUGCGAAAAGCGCCGGCGAGGUGAUAUGAACCCUUGACCCGGCGAUGUCCGAAUGGGGAAACCCAGUGCAAUCCGUUGCACUAUCGUUAACUGAAUACAUAGGUUAACGAGGCGAACCGGGGGAACUGAAACAUCUAAGUACCCCGAGGAAAAGAAAUCAACCGAGAUUCCCCCAGUAGCGGCGAGCGAACGGGGAGCAGCCCGGAGUCUGAAUCAGCUUGUGUGUUAGUGGAACGGUCUGGAAAGUCCGACGGUACAGGGUGAUAGUCCCGUACACGAAAGCACACAUGCUGUGAACUCGAAGAGUAGGGCGGGACACGUGGUAUCCUGUCUGAAUAUGGGGGGACCAUCCUCCAAGGCUAAAUACUCCUGACUGACCGAUAGUGAACCAGUACCGUGAGGGAAAGGCGAAAAGAACCCCGGCGAGGGGAGUGAAAAAGAACCUGAAACCGUGUACGUACAAGCAGUGGGAGCCUCUUUAUGGGGUGACUGCGUACCUUUUGUAUAAUGGGUCAGCGACUUAUAUUCUGUAGCAAGGUUAACCGUAUAGGGGAGCCGAAGGGAAACCGAGUCUUAACUGGGCGUUAAGUUGCAGGGUAUAGACCCGAAACCCGGUGAUCUAGCCAUGGGCAGGUUGAAGGUUGGGUAACACUAACUGGAGGACCGAACCGACUAAUGUUGAAAAAUUAGCGGAUGACCUGUGGCUGGGGGUGAAAGGCCAAUCAAACCGGGAGAUAGCUGGUUCUCCCCGAAAGCUAUUUAGGUAGCGCCUCGUGAACUCAUCUUCGGGGGUAGAGCACUGUUUCGGCUAGGGGGCCAUCCCGGCUUACCAACCCGAUGCAAACUACGAAUACCGAAGAAUGUUAUCACGGGAGACACACGGCGGGUGCUAACGUCCGUCGUGAAGAGGGAAACAACCCAGACCGCCAGCUAAGGUCCCAAAGUCAUGGUUAAGUGGGAAACGAUGUGGGAAGGCACAGACAGCCAGGAUGUUGGCUUAGAAGCAGCCAUCAUUUAAAGAAAGCGUAAUAGCUCACUGGUCGAGUCGGCCUGCGCGGAAGAUGUAACGGGGCUAAACCAUGCACCGAAGCUGCGGCAGCGACACUAUGUGUUGUUGGGUAGGGGAGCGUUCUGUAAGCCGUUGAAGGUGUGCUGUGAGGCAUGCUGGAGGUAUCAGAAGUGCGAAUGCUGACAUAAGUAACGAUAAAGCGGGUGAAAAGCCCGCUCGCCGGAAGACCAAGGGUUCCUGUCCAACGUUAAUCGGGGCAGGGUGAGUCGACCCCUAAGGCGAGGCCGAAAGGCGUAGUCGAUGGGAAACAGGUUAAUAUUCCUGUACUUGGUGUUACUGCGAAGGGGGGACGGAGAAGGCUAUGUCAGCCGGGCGACGGUUGUCCCGGUUUAAGCAUGUAGGCGGAGGUUCCAGGUAAAUCCGGUACCUUUUAACGCUGAGGUGUGAUGACGAGGCACUACGGUGCUGAAGUGAUAAAUGCCCUGCUUCCAGGAAAAGCCUCUAAGCAUCAGGUAACACGAAAUCGUACCCCAAACCGACACAGGUGGUCAGGUAGAGAAUACCAAGGCGCUUGAGAGAACUCGGGUGAAGGAACUAGGCAAAAUGGUGCCGUAACUUCGGGAGAAGGCACGCUGAUGUGUAGGUGAAGCCCCUGCGGGCGGAGCUGAAAUCAGUCGAAGAUACCAGCUGGCUGCAACUGUUUAUUAAAAACACAGCACUGUGCAAACACGAAAGUGGACGUAUACGGUGUGACGCCUGCCCGGUGCCGGAAGGUUAAUUGAUGGGGUUAGCGGCAACGCGAAGCUCUUGAUCGAAGCCCCGGUAAACGGCGGCCGUAACUAUAACGGUCCUAAGGUAGCGAAAUUCCUUGUCGGGUAAGUUCCGACCUGCACGAAUGGCGUAAUGAUGGCCAGGCUGUCUCCACCCGAGACUCAGUGAAAUUGAACUCGCUGUGAAGAUGCAGUGUACCCGCGGCAAGACGGAAAGACCCCGUGAACCUUUACUAUAGCUUGACACUGAACACUGGUCCUUGAUGUGUAGGAUAGGUGGGAGGCUUUGAAGCGUGGACGCCAGUCUGCGUGGAGCCAACCUUGAAAUACCACCCUUUAAUGGCUGGUGUUCUAACGUGGACCCGUAAUCCGGGUUGCGGACAGUGUCUGGUGGGUAGUUUGACUGGGGCGGUCUCCUCCCAAAGAGUAACGGAGGAGCACGAAGGUUGGCUAAUCCUGGUCGGACAUCAGGAGGUUAGUGCAAUGGCAUAAGCCAGCUUGACUGCGAGCGUGACGGCGCGAGCAGGUGCGAAAGCAGGUCAUAGUGAUCCGGUGGUUCUGAAUGGAAGGGCCAUCGCUCAACGGAUAAAAGGUACUCCGGGGAUAACAGGCUGAUACCGCCCAAGAGUUCAUAUCGACGGCGGUGUUUGGCACCUCGAUGUCGGCUCAUCACAUCCUGGGGCUGAAGUAGGUCCCAAGGGUAUGGCUGUUCGCCAUUUAAAGUGGUACGCGAGCUGGGUUUAGAACGUCGUGAGACAGUUCGGUCCCUAUCUGCCGUGGGCGCUGGAGAAUUGAGGGGGGCUGCUCCUAGUACGAGAGGACCGGAGUGGACGCAUCACUGGUGUUCGGGUUGUCAUGCCAAUGGCACUGCCCGGUAGCUAAAUGCGGAAGAGAUAAGUGCUGAAAGCAUCUAAGCACGAAACUUGCCCCGAGAUGAGUUCUCCCUGAGACUUUAAGUCUCCUGAAGGAACGUUGAAGACGACGACGUUGAUAGGUCGGGUGUGUAAGCGCAGCGAUGCGUUGAGCUAACCGAUACUAAUGAACCGUGAGGCUUAACCUU